RNAcentral lists this ribosomal RNA (234 nucleotides) under uncultured bacterium. Its description in RNAcentral is "partial 16S ribosomal RNA". It matches the Rfam family "Bacterial small subunit ribosomal RNA", at positions 118 to 351 of the family's 1533-position model. The record is from RNAcentral.
UGAGCAAUCUGUCCUUCUCUUCGGAAUAAGCGUUGGAAACGACGUCUAAUGCCGAAUACGACCUCCUUUCGCAUGAUCGGAGGUGGAAAGCUCCGGCGGAGAAGGAUGAGCUCGCGGCCUAUCAGCUAGUUGGUGUGGGUAAUGGCCCACCAAGGCGACGACGGGUAGCCGGCCUGAGAGGGUGACCGGCCACACUGGGACUGAGACACGGCCCAGACUCCGUACGGGAGGNAG